GGAAUCUUGCGCAAUGGGCGAAAGCCUGACGCAGCCAUGCCGCGUGAAUGAUGAAGGUCUUAGGAUUGUAAAAUUCUUUCACCGGGGACGAUAAUGACGGUACCCGGAGAAGAAGCCCCGGCUAACUUCGUGCCAGCAGCCGCGGUAAUACGAAGGGGGCUAGCGUUGCUCGGAAUUACUGGGCGUAAAGGGCGCGUAGGCGGAUCGUUAAGUCAGAGGUGAAAUCCCAGGGCUCAACCCUGGAACUGCCUUUGAUACUGGCGAUCUUGAGUAUGAGAGAGGUAUGUGGAACUCCGAGUGUAGAGGUGAAAUUCGUAGAUAUUCGGAAGAACACCAGUGGCGAAGGCGACAUACUGGCUCAUUACUGACGCUGAGGCGCGAAAGCGUGGGGAGCAAACAG
RNAcentral lists this ribosomal RNA (400 nucleotides) under uncultured bacterium. Its description in RNAcentral is "bacterial SSU rRNA". It matches the Rfam family "Bacterial small subunit ribosomal RNA", at positions 358 to 775 of the family's 1533-position model. The record is from RNAcentral.